UACUGAAUUCUAAUGGUGUAUUUUCUAAUUUCUUUUUUCCAAUGCAGUUGUCCAUUUUCAUAUCUGAAGAAUGGGAGUUGGAUAGAUUCGCUACAGUGUUUGUUCUAACAGAGCCCGUUGUUGUAAUGGAAGAUGGCUAAAUAGUGCUGACCUGACUUCAAUCACGAAUUGGCUUUUGCCAGUGCUGAAGGUGGAGAUGUUGACCAUUUGAAUGCUUGGGUAUACACACAGAUCAUUAAUUUUCAGCAAUUAGCAUUGAAGAAACGUUGCAGUAUUUUGUCAAAGAUUCUGCCGAAAGUGUGCAAAUGAGCUAUUGAAAAUACUCCUCGCUCAGACUGAAACACCUAUUGACCAUUUUGUUGUGAAUCUUCUGAUAUGCAAUUGAAAUCCACUGUUCUCAUAUAUUGAGGUUUCUGCCAUUGUUGGCUAUCAGUCUGCAUUGUUCAUAUGUGCAAGUGUUCUGAUUAGUUAGCGUUGGCUUAAAUUGUAAUGUUUGUACCCAUUUUACAUGUUAAAAUUGUUUUUGUUACCUGUUGCAAUUUUUCAUUUUUACUGCAGUACACUAAUUACAAUUUACAGAAGACUUGUGAACAAAUGGUUAAAGGGACACUUUAUAAAUUUGAAAGAAUGUGAUGUUAGUACCUUUAUUUUCCCAGUUCUAAAUCUGUGUUGUUCCAUUGUUCCUUUGCUGUUCUCAUGCCAUGUCUCAUUUUGUUACAUGCUGGUCAUAUGGUGUAGUCCUGCAGAACUUUCAUUUAGGAUUUAACCGGUUAUGAAGUGAAGGUCUUGUUUUGUGGACAGAUUGAGUGACAUAUUUGAGAGGGUUGUGAAGUUGUUACUCUUGGAAGUUGGGCUCUUGACAAUUUGUACAGUUCCCUUGAAUUAGUGAGAAAAAUGUUUACUGAAUGUUAACUCUAAACUAUGAAGUGAGUCAAAUCUUAGCAAGAUAGCACAAGUAUGAUGCAUGGCUCAUAAUGCUCAGGAACAUUUACUGACCAGGGACAGUGAUGUGGCAUUUCUCAAGAAUCUAAAUGAGUAUGAAGAGGGCAAGGCAGCUGGUGGGAAUCAGUUCAGUAUCUGGUAGUCAAUCAGACAUUGCAAUGGGAGAGGCAAGUGCUAACUGAAUGUAUAAACCAUGUCUGCAUGUGGACCCCUGUGAUAUGCCAUGAAGCUGCAUCAGUGAUUUGUUCUGACAGUUGCACAUCCAUCUAUGGAUACAUCAGCUGGAGAUAGUGAGCAGGCAACAGCACACAAUAUUGUUGAAAGCUGGCAUGGAGAGGGAAUGGAGCCAUGGGUGAAAGAGGAGGCGAACAUAAAUGUAAUUGAAUUAAAGAAAGAAGUUGAGUGGCCUCCAGAGGAGCAGGAGGUGGCAAAUGUUGGCGGGGAGGGCAAGCAAAAUGAUGCUUUUGUGGGAGGACUACAAUCGUGGGAGAACAUUCAGAUUGCCCCAUCUCUGUCUCUCGGCCCUUCUUGCUCUGAACGAGGCACAGCUGAAUAUGCUUCAAGCAAUUAUGAAGUUGAUGCUGUAGGGUUAGGAGGAGGAUAUGUGAUAUACCAGUCUCAAAUGUCAAGUGGGGAGGGUCCAACAACUACAGCAGUUCAUCCAUCAUCCUCAGUGACACGACCACUUCAACCCCAUGUUGAAACAUUGGUGGAAGAGCGCUUUGUUACAGGACUGCGAGGCAUAUUGGUUGCUCAACAUGACAGACAGUUAGACUCUUUGAAUUUAAUCAGACAGGAGAUGACCAGUCUUUGUCAAGAGGUGAGGGAGUUGAAGACAGGUCUUUGUCAGGAGGUGAGGGAGUUAAGGACCAGUCUUUGUCAGCAGCUGGCACUUUCAAUUCAAAAACUUACUGAUGCAUUGACUGUUUCAAAGGAAAUUCAACACCAAGGUGCUGCAAGUGACUUUAACCAAGUAACAAUACAAAAACCUGAUGUUCGUGCAGCUAAUACGGAAGUGGCACAAACAAACCCAGUAGAACCAUUCUUGACCGCUCCGAAUACUGAAACUGUGCAGUCCCAGGAGUUAGCCACAACACCUCUGACAGGUGCAAUUUGAGGGCAGCAGCAUUUUGGCACCAGAGGGCUUAGGACACGUGUAUGGGGAAGACGCAGGAGGCAUUAGGUGCUGGCUGAGUGGACUUUUGAAGUUAGUGUGAAACCAUUCUAAACUAUUGGAUCAACAGAAAACAUUUUAAAGACAUCAAAAAUCUUGCACUAAGCUGAUGUUGACAUUGUUUUGCUUAACUAUCUUGAAUGUUCUGCGGGGAGGGCAAGCAAAAUGAUGCUGUUGUGGGGGGACUACAAUCGUGGGAGAACAUUCAGAUUGCCCCAUCUGUCUCUCGGCCCUUCUUGCUCUGAUCGAGGCACAGCUGAAUAUGCUUCAAGCAAUUAUGAAGUUGAUGCUGUAGGGUUAGGAGGAGGAUAUGUGAUAUACCAGUCUCAAAUGUCAAGUGGGGAGGGUCCAACAACUACAGCAGUUCAUCCAUCAGCCUCAGUGACACGACCACUUCAAUCCCAUGUUGAAACAUUGGUGGAAGAGCACUUUGUUACAGGACUGCGAGACAUAUUGGUUGCUCAACAUGACAGACAGUUAGACUCUUUGAAUUUAAUCAGACAGGAGAUGACCAGUCUUUGUCAAGAGGUGAGGGAGUUGAAGACAGGUCUUUGUCAGGAGGUGAGGGAGUUAAGGACCAGUCUUUGUCAGCAGCUGGCACUUUCAAUUCAAAAACUUACUGAUGCAUUGACUGUUUCAAAGGAAAUUCAACACCAAGGUGCUGCAAGUGACUUUAACCAAGUAACAAUACAAAAACCUGAUGUUCGUGCAGCUAAUACGGAAGUGGCACAAACAAACCCAGUAGAACCAUUCUUGACCGCUCCGAAUACUGAAACUGUGCAGUCCCAGGAGUUAGCCACAACACCUCUGACAGGUGCAAUUUGAGGGCAGCAGCAUUUUGGCACCAGAGGGCUUAGGACACGUGUAUGGGGAAGACGCAGGAGGCAUUAGGUGCUGGCUGAGUGGACUUUUGAAGUUAGUGUGAAACCAUUCUAAACUAUUGGAUCAACAGGAAACAUUUUAAAGACAUCAAAAAUCUUGCACUAAGCUGAAGUUGACAUUGUUUUGCUUAACUAUCUCGAAUGUUCUGCAAUGAAUCUUUGCUGCUGAAAUAAAAUAUCACUUGCUUUAUUUUA
Non-coding RNA from Chiloscyllium plagiosum (whitespotted bambooshark), 3192 nucleotides. NCBI's taxonomy places the organism in Eukaryota, Metazoa, Chordata, Chondrichthyes, Orectolobiformes, Hemiscylliidae. The record is from RefSeq and is a predicted model, not a curated record.